This 1785-nucleotide small RNA is filed under the name Pongo abelii (Sumatran orangutan). RNAcentral's name for it is "retained intron". Lineage: Eukaryota; Metazoa; Chordata; Mammalia; Primates; Hominidae. The record is from RNAcentral.
CCGAGGAUGGCGGUCAUGGCGCCCCGAACCCUCCUCCUGCUACUCUCGGGUGCCCCGGCCCUGACCCAGACCUGGGCGGGCUCCCACUCCAUGAGGUAUUUCAGCACCUCCGUGUCCCGGCCGGGCCGCGGGGAGCCCCGGUACCUCGAAGUCGGCUACGUGGACGACACGCAGUUCAGGAUGUAUGGCUGCGAAGUGGGGUCCCACGGGCGCUUCCUCCGCGGGUACCGGCAGGACGCCUACGACGGCAAGGAUUACAUCGCCCUAAACGAGGACCUGCGCUCUUGGACCGCGGCGGACAUUGCAGCUCAGAUCAUCAAGCGCAAGUGGGAGGCGGCCGGUGUGGGGGAGCAGGAGAGAGCCUACCUGGAGGGCACGUGCGUGGAGUGGCUCCGCAGACACCUGAAGAACGGGAAGGAGACGCUGCAGCGCACGGACCCCCCCAAGACACAUAUGACCCACCACCCCAUCUCUGACCAUGAGGCCACCCUGAGGUGCUGGGCCCUGGGCUUCUACCCUGCGGAGAUCACACUGACCUGGCAGCGGGAUGGGGAGGACCAGACCCAGGACACGGAGCUCGUGGAGACCAGGCCUGCAGGGGAUGGAACCUUCCAGAAGUGGGUGGCUGUGGUGGUGCCUUCUGGAAAGGAGCAGAGAUACACCUGCCAUGUGCAGCAUGAGGGUCUGCCUGAGCCCCUCACCCUGAGAUGGGAGCCGUCUUCCCAGCCCACCAUCCCCAUCGUGGUCAUCAUUGCUGGCCUGGUUCUCCUUGGAGCUGUGAUCACUGGAGCUGUGGUCGCUGCUGUGAUGUGGAGGAGGAAGAGCUCAGGUGGGGAAGGGGUGAAGGGUGGGGUCUGAGAUUUCUUGUCUCACUGAGGGUUCCAAGCCCCAGGUAGAAAUGUGCCCUGUCUAAUUACUGGGAAGCACCAUCCACACUCAUGGGCCUACCCAGCCUGGGCCCUGUGUGCCAGCACUUACUCUUUUGUAAAGCACCUGUUAAAAUGAAGGACAGAUUUAUCACCUUGAUGACUGUGGUGAUGGAGCCUGAUCCCAGCAGUCACAAGUCACAGGGGAAGGUCCCUCAGGACAGACCUCAGGAGGAUGGUUCGUCCAGGACCCACACUUGCUUUCUUCAUGUUUCCUGAUCCCGCCCUGGGUCUGCAGUCACACAUUUCUGGAAACUUCUCUGGGUUCCAAGACUAGGAGGUUCCUCUAGGACCUUAAGGCCCUGACUCCUUCCUGGUAUCUCACAGGACAUUUUCUUCCCACAGAUAGAAAAGGAGGGAGAUACUCUCAGGCUGCAAGCAGUGACAGUGCCCAGGGCUCUGAUGUGUCUCUCACAGCUUGUAAAGUGUGAGACAGCUGCCUUGUGUGGGACUGAGAGGUAAGAGUUGUUCCUGCCCUUCCCUUUGUGACUUGAAGAACCUGACUUUCUUUCUGCAAAGGCACCUGCAUGUGUCUGUGUUCCUGUAGGCAUAGUGUGAGGAGGUGGGGAGGCCACCCCACCCCCAUGUCCACCAUAACCCUCUUCCCACGCUGACCUGUGCUCCCUCCCCAAUCAUCUUUCCUGUUCCAGAGAGGUGAGGCUGGGAUGUCUCCAUCUCUGUCUCAGCUUCAUGGUGUGCUGAGCUGUAACUUCUUCCUUCGCUAUUAAAAUUAGAACCUGAGUAAAAAUUUAAUUUCUCAAAUUCUUGCCAUGAGAGCUUGAUGAGUUAAUUAAGGGAGAAGAUUCCUAAAAUUUGAGAGACAAAAUAAAUGGAAGACAUGAGAACCUUCCAGAGUCCA